CGGGCGUGGGACACUCUAAAGGGACUGCCGGUGACAAACCGGAGGAAGGUGGGGAUGACGUCAAGUCAUCAUGGCCCUUACGGCCUGGGCUACACACGUGCUACAAUGGUCGGUACAAAGGGUUGCCAAGCCGCGAGGUGGAGCUAAUCCCAAUAAAACCGAUCGUAGUCCGGAUCGCAGUCUGCAACUCGACUGCGUGAAGUCGGAAUCGCUAGUAAUCGUGAAUCAGAAUGUCACGGUGAAUACGUUCCCGGGCCUU
RNAcentral lists this ribosomal RNA (259 nucleotides) under uncultured Pseudomonas sp. RNAcentral's name for it is "partial 16S ribosomal RNA". It matches the Rfam family "Bacterial small subunit ribosomal RNA", at positions 1125 to 1382 of the family's 1533-position model. Lineage: Bacteria; Pseudomonadati; Pseudomonadota; Gammaproteobacteria; Pseudomonadales; Pseudomonadaceae. The record is from RNAcentral.